Molecule: long non-coding RNA, 1309 nt
Organism: Brassica napus (rape)
Lineage: Eukaryota; Viridiplantae; Streptophyta; Magnoliopsida; Brassicales; Brassicaceae
Exons: 4
Source: RefSeq, a predicted model, not a curated record
CGAGUUACAAUUAUACCAUCGUCAUUAUCAAUAUAGUUAUCUGUUUAUCUCAUCGUCAUCUCCCAGCGAAGAGCCCUAUUUCCAAUCCAGUUUGAUUGGAUUCCACAAAUUUCUAAUUUGAAGAGACCUUAUCCGGCGAAGAUAUCGAUGAUUGGUGUUAUCCCAGUUUCCUCUUAUCAUACAACGAUAGAUAAAUGCUUUGUGCGCAUUUCCGAUUGGAUUUGGUGAUUUUGUCCAAUUAGUCGGAAAUUUCUUAUAAUCUCUUUGGCGAUAAUUUUCAACAAAUGUAAAAAGAAGCUAAGUCGCUGCAGAAACCCUGGGCUGCAAGUGAGAUUCAAUAUGGCCAGAACAAAGGGAAGCUUUACAAUGGAGAGUGCGACGAAUUCAUGAUCUGACUGAGCAAAAAACUUGGGUGUGGGAACUGGGAUGACCUCCUUUUUCAUGUUUUAACUGGUUUGUGAAAUCCCGCACGAGUCAGGAACUAGCUAGAAGAUGCAACACUCUGAUUCGGCUGAUUGAAAAGGAGAUUCAAGAGUUAAAUGGGAGAGAGAAAUGAGUGUAAGAAGAUGUCGGCUUUAUCACACUGGAAUGAGCAUUACUAUUCUUGGUUUUGGUCCAGUGCCAUAGAUGGACUCAGCUACAAUCAGUUGCACAAGUUUUGGAGUGUUUUGUUGCCCAAAACUAGACAGGAGCCCCUCAAGGAUUGUCAAGCAUGCUCUGUUUGAGCAAGCUCGCAAGAACAUGUGCAGUUCCAGAUACAACAGCCUACUGCUUGAAAGCUUCUCGCAGAUUGUUUCAUAUGGGAAGUCCUUCCAACGAAAAGGAUCCACAAGAAGUCUUGCAUUGCAGCAGAUAAGUAGCCUCAAAAGAUUAAAGUAACUGUAACUCAGUUGUUAGUAACAGAUGUAUAGGUUAGUUUCAGGACCCUGCUGUUCUUCAGUGGGGAGGUCUCAGAACAUUUCACGAUGGAUCACUCUGAUACGUCCAUAGUAUCAGCGAGCUUAAGAAAGAGAAGAGUGAUAGUGGAAGUAAAUACUCUUUGACUAAUGAUGACGUGGCAAGGGAAGGAAGAGACUGGAUUGGAGACAGAGGCUUUGCUGUUAAUCUCAUCUUCUUUAAAUACGAUAGUUAUAUUGUUCUACGGUUUUAUGCAUCUUCUGUUGUAAAACAUUGGGGUUGUUGAGCUGGGCUCUUCAAUGGCGUUUUCUGAUAUCAAGUUGUCGUGAUUGAUUGCUUGAUUCUCAGUGUAACCGAACCUCUGGUGCUUUUCGUUUACAAUCUCUAUCAAAGUAUCUCGGUUUGGUGUUUA